This 465-nucleotide ribosomal RNA is filed under the name Vreelandella stevensii. RNAcentral describes it as "partial 16S ribosomal RNA". It matches the Rfam family "Bacterial small subunit ribosomal RNA", at positions 338 to 795 of the family's 1533-position model. The record is from RNAcentral. Lineage: Bacteria; Pseudomonadati; Pseudomonadota; Gammaproteobacteria; Oceanospirillales; Halomonadaceae.
CCUACGGGCGGCUGCAGUGGGGAAUAUUGGACAAUGGGCGAAAGCCUGAUCCAGCCAUGCCGCGUGUGUGAAGAAGGCCUUCGGGUUGUAAAGCACUUUCAGUGGGGAAGAAAGCCUUGGGGCUAAUACCCUCGAGGAAGGACAUCACCCACAGAAGAAGCACCGGCUAACUCCGUGCCAGCAGCCGCGGUAAUACGGAGGGUGCGAGCGUUAAUCGGAAUUACUGGGCGUAAAGCGCGCGUAGGCGGUCUGAUAAGCCGGUUGUGAAAGCCCCGGGCUCAACCUGGGAACGGCAUCCGGAACUGUCAGGCUAGAGUGCAGGAGAGGAAGGUAGAAUUCCCGGUGUAGCGGUGAAAUGCGUAGAGAUCGGGAGGAAUACCAGUGGCGAAGGCGGUCUUCUGGACUGACACUGACGCUGAGGUGCGAAAGCGUGGAUAGCAAACAGGAUUAGAUACCCUAGUAGUC